UCGAGAGGCUUCGGCAAUGGGGGAAACCCUGACCGAGCGACGCCGCGUGGAGGAUGAAGGCCUUUGGGUUGUAAACUCCUGUCAUGAGGGAAGAAUCGUCACCGUUCGAAUAGGGCGGUGACCUGACGGUACCUCAAGAGGAAGCGCCGGCUAACUCCGUUCCAGCCGCCGCGGUAAUACGUAGGGGGCAAGCGUUGUCCGGAUUGAUUGGGCGUAGAGAGCGUGUAGGCGGUUUGGUAGGUCCGCUGUGAAAACUCGAGGCUCAACCUCGAGACGCCGGUGGAAACCAUCAGGCUAGAGUCCGGAAGAGGAGAGUGGAAUUCCUGGUGUAGCGGUGAAAUGCGCAGAUAUCAGGAAGAACACCCGUGGCUAAGGCGGCUCUCUAGUACGGUACUGACGCUGAGACGCGAAAGCGUGGGGAGCGAAC
RNAcentral lists this ribosomal RNA (427 nucleotides) under uncultured bacterium. RNAcentral describes it as "bacterial SSU rRNA". It matches the Rfam family "Bacterial small subunit ribosomal RNA", at positions 355 to 773 of the family's 1533-position model. The record is from RNAcentral.